UUGGAGGGCAAGUCUGGUGCCAGCAGCCGCGGUAAUUCCAGCUCCAAUAGCGUAUAUUAAAGUUGUUGCAGUUAAAAAGCUCGUAGUUGAACCUUGGCUCUGGCUGGCCGGUCCGCCUCACCGCGAGUACUGGUCCGGCUGGAGCUUUCCUUCUGGGGAACCUCAUGGCCUUCACUGGCUGUGGGGGGAACCAGGACUUUUACUGUGAAAAAAUUAGAGUGUUCAAAGCAGGCCUUUGCUCGAAUACAUUAGCAUGGAAUAAUAGAAUAGGACGUGCGGUUCUAUUUUGUUGGUUUCUAGGACCGCCGUAAUGAUUAAUAGGGAUAGUCGGGGGCGUCAGUAUUCAGCUGUCAGAGGUGAAAUUCUUGGAUUUGCUGAAGACUAACUACUGCGAAAGCAUUCGCCAAGGAUGUUUUCAUUAAUCAGGGAACGAAAGUUAGGGGAUCGAAGACGAUCAGAUACCGUCGUAGUCUUAACCAUAAACUAUGCCGACUAGGGAUCGGACGGGAUUCUAUUAUGACCCGUUCGGCGCCUUACGGGAAAC
RNAcentral lists this ribosomal RNA (544 nucleotides) under uncultured Penicillium. RNAcentral describes it as "SSU rRNA". It matches the Rfam family "Eukaryotic small subunit ribosomal RNA", at positions 548 to 1098 of the family's 1831-position model. The record is from RNAcentral. Lineage: Eukaryota; Fungi; Ascomycota; Eurotiomycetes; Eurotiales; Aspergillaceae.